RNAcentral lists this ribosomal RNA (478 nucleotides) under uncultured bacterium. Its description in RNAcentral is "partial 16S ribosomal RNA". It matches the Rfam family "Bacterial small subunit ribosomal RNA", at positions 28 to 507 of the family's 1533-position model. The record is from RNAcentral.
GAUGAACGCUGGCGGCGUGCUUAACACAUGCAAGUCGAACGAGAAGUGAAGACGGAAACCUUCGGGCGGAAGGCUUUAUUUCGAGUGGCGGACGGGUGAGUAACGCGUGGGUAACCUGCCUCAUACAGGGGGAUAACAGUUGGAAACGACUGUUAAUACCGCAUAAGACCACAGCACCGCAUGGUGCGGGGGUAAAAACUCCGGUGGUAUGAGAUGGACCCGCGUUCGAUUAGCCAGUUGGCGGGGUAACGGCCCACCAAAGCGACGAUCGAUAGCCGAUCUGAGAGGAUGACCGGCCACAUUGGGACUGAGACACGGCCCAAACUCCUACGGGAGGCAGCAGCGGGGAAUAUUGCACAAUGGGGGAAACCCUGAUGCAGCGACGCCGCGUGAGUGAAGAAGUAUUUCGGUAUGUAAAGCUCUAUCAGCAGGGAAGAAAAUGACGGUACCUGAGGAAGAAGCCCCGGCUAACUACGUG